RNAcentral lists this ribosomal RNA (482 nucleotides) under uncultured bacterium. RNAcentral's name for it is "bacterial SSU rRNA". It matches the Rfam family "Bacterial small subunit ribosomal RNA", at positions 501 to 985 of the family's 1533-position model. The record is from RNAcentral.
CUACGUGCCAGCAGCCGCGGUAAUACGGAAGGUCCGGGCGUUAUCCGGAUUUAUUGGGUUUAAAGGGAGCGUAGGCCGGAGAUUAAGUGUGUUGUGAAAUGUAGACGCUCAACGUCUGACUUGCAGCGCAUACUGGUUUCCUUGAGUACGCACAACGUUGGCGGAAUUCGUCGUGUAGCGGUGAAAUGCUUAGAUAUGACGAAGAACUCCAAUUGCGAAGGCAGCUGACGGGAGCGCAACUGACGCUUAAGCUCGAAGGUGCGGGUAUCGAACAGGAUUAGAUACCCUGGUAGUCCGCACAGUAAACGAUGGAUGCCCGCUGUUGGUCCAUUAGGGUCAGCGGCCAAGCGAAAGCAUUAAGCAUCCCACCUGGGGAGUACGCCGGCAACGGUGAAACUCAAAGGAAUUGACGGGGGCCCGCACAAGCGGAGGAACAUGUGGUUUAAUUCGAUGAUACGCGAGGAACCUUACCCGGGCUUGAA